UAGGGAAUCUUCCGCAAUGGACGAAAGUCUGACGGAGCAACGCCGCGUGUGUGAAGAAGGAUUUCGGUUCGUAAAACUCUGUUGUUAGGGAAGAAAAAAUGUAUAGUAACUAUAUACAAAAGAGACGGUACCUAACCAGAAAGCCACGGCUAACUACGUGCCAGCAGCCGCGGUAAUACGUAAGGUCCGAGCGUUGUCCGGAAUCAUUGGGCGUAAAGGGUACGUAGGCGGAUAAGCAAGUUAGAAGUGAAAUCCUAUAGCUCAACUAUAGUAAGCUUUUAAAACUGCUCAUCUUGAGGUAUGGAAGGGAAAGUGGAAUUCCUAGUGUAGCGGUGAAAUGCGCAGAUAUUAGGAGGAAUACCGGUGGCGAAGGCGACUUUCUGGCCAUAUACUGACGCUGGGGUACGAAAGCGUGGGUAGCAAACAGG
Molecule: ribosomal RNA, 428 nt
Filed under: Verrucomicrobiota bacterium
Lineage: Bacteria; Pseudomonadati; Verrucomicrobiota
Description: Verrucomicrobia bacterium partial 16S ribosomal RNA
Rfam family: Bacterial small subunit ribosomal RNA
Source: RNAcentral